This 263-nucleotide ribosomal RNA is filed under the name uncultured archaeon. RNAcentral's name for it is "partial 16S ribosomal RNA". It matches the Rfam family "Archaeal small subunit ribosomal RNA", at positions 748 to 1009 of the family's 1478-position model. The record is from RNAcentral.
CAGCUGUAAACUAUGUGCGUUAGGUGUGUCAGUGACCACGUGUCACUGAGGUGCCGAAGGGAAACCGUGAAACGCACCGCCUGGGGGAGUACGGUCGCAAGGCUGAAACUUAAAGGAAUUGGCGGGGGGAGCACCACAACGGGUGGAGCCUGCGGUUUAAUCGGACUCAACGCCGGGAAUCUCACCGGAUAAGACAGCUGAAUGAUAGUCGGGAUGAAGACUCUACUUGACUAGCUGAGAGGAGGUGCAUGGCGUAGUCGUGU